Non-coding RNA from Rattus norvegicus (Norway rat), 2831 nucleotides. The record is from RefSeq and is a predicted model, not a curated record. Lineage: Eukaryota; Metazoa; Chordata; Mammalia; Rodentia; Muridae.
GGGAUGUUGACCCAGAAACCGGGAAAGGGAAUAACAAUAGAAAUGUAAAUAAGAAAUACUUAAGUUAAUAAAGGUAAAAAAAUGGAUUAUUUGUUCCUGACUUAUCUUGGGUACCUGGUAUCUGUGUAGGAAAUUGUCCAUUUCUUCCAGAUUUUCAAGUUUUGUUGAAUACAGGCUUUUGUAGUGGAAUCUGAUGAUGUUUUUGAAUUUCCUCCGAUUCUGUAGUUAUGUCUCCCUUUUCAUUUCUGAGUUUGUUAUUUUGGACACACACUCUGUGUCCUCUUGUUAGUCUGGCUAAGGGUUUAUGUAUCUUGUUGAUUUUCUCAAAGAACCAACUUUUGGUUCUGUUGAUUCUUUGUAUAGUCCUUUUUGCUUCUACUUGGUUUAUUUUAGCUCUGAGGUUGAUUAUUUCCUGCCUUCUACUCCUCCUGGGUGUAUUUGCCUCUUUUUGUUCUAGAGCUUUUAGGUGUGCUGUCGAGCUGCUGAUAUAUGUAUGCUCUCUCCUGUUUCUUCGUGCAGGGAUUCAGACCUAUGGAUUUUCCUCUUAGCACAGCUUUCAUUGUGUCCCAUAAGUUUGGGUAUGUUGUCCUUCAUGUUCAUUAAAUUCUAAGAGGUCUUUAAUUUAUUUCUUUAUUUCUUCCUUGACCAGGUUAUCAUUGAGUAGCACAUUAUUCAACUUCCAUGUAUAUGUGGGCAUUUUUUCUCAUUGUUUUUGAAGACCAGCUUUAGCCCGUGUUGGUCUGGUAGGAUGCAUGGGAUUAUUUCUAUCUUUCUGUAUCUGUUGAGGCCUGUUUUAUGGGUCAAUUUGGAGAAAGUACCGUGAGGAGGUGAGAAAAAGGUAUAUAUUUUUGUUUUAGGAUAGAAUGUUCUAUAAAUAUCUGUUAAAUCCAUUUGGUUCAUGACUUCUCUUAGUCUAUGUCUCCAUUUCAUUUCUGUUUCCAUGAUCUGUUCACUGAUAAAAGUGCGGUGUUGAAAUCUCCUACUAAUUUUGUGUGAGGUAUAAUGUGUGCUUUGAGCUUUAGGAAGGUUUCUUUUAUGUCUGUCGAUGCCCUUGUAUUUGGAGCAUAGAUAUUUAGGAUUGAGAAUUCAUCUUGGUGGAUUUUUCCUUUGAUGUAUAUUAAGUGUCCUUCCUUAUCUUUUUUUGAUGACUUUUGGUUGUAAAUUGAAUUUAUUCAAUAUUCGUAUGGCUACUCCACCUUGCUUCUUCAGACCAUUUGCCUGGAAAGUUGUUUUCCAGCCUUUCACUAUGACGAGGUAGUGUCUGUCUUUGUCUCCGAGGUGUGUUUCCUGUAGGCAGCAAAAUGUUGUGUCCUCAUCAUGUAUCCAGUUCGUUAAUCUUUGUCUUUUUAUUUGGGAAUUGAGUCCAUUGAUGUUGAGAGAUAUUAAGGAAUAGUGAUUGUUGCUUCCUGUUAUAUUCGUGUUUGGAUGUGAGAUUAUGUUUGUGUGCUUGUCUUCUCUUUGUUUUAUUCCAAAAGACUAGCUUCUUGCUUUGUCUAGGGUGUACCUUGCAUUCUUGUCUUGGGCUUUACAAUUUAUUAUCCUUUGUAGGGCUGGAUUUGUAGAAAGAUAUUGUGUAAAUUUGGUUUUGUCAUGGAAUAUCUUGGUUACUCCAUCUAUGUUAAUUGAGAGUUUUGCUGGAUACAGUAACCUGGGCUGGCAUUUGUGUUCUCUUAGGGUCUGUAUGACAUCUGUCCAGGAUCUUCUGGCUUUCAUAGUCUCUGGUGAGAAGUCUUACUGCUUUUAAUAUUCUUUCUUUGUUUUGUGCAUUUGUUGUUUUUACUAUUAUGUGAUGGGAGGAGUUUCUUUUCUGGUCCAAUCUAUUUGGAGUUCUGUAGGCUUCUUGUAUGUUUAUGGGCAUCUCUUUCUUUAGGUUAGGUAAGGUUUCUUCUAUGAUUUUGUUCAAGAUAUUUACUCAUCCUUUGAGCUGGGAGUCUUCACUCUCUUCUAUUCCUAUUAUCCUUAUAUUUGAUCUCCUCUUUGAGUCAUGGAUUUCCUGUAUGUUCUGGGCCAGUAAUUUUUCCAUUUUCCAUUAUCUUUGAGAGUUGUGUCGAUGAUUUCUAUGGAAUCUUCUGCUCCCGAGAUUCUCUCUUCUAUCUCUUUCAUUCCAUUGGUGAUGCUUGUAUCUACGGCUCCUUGUCUCUUCCUUUGUUUUUCUAUAUCCAGGGUUGUUUCCCUGUGUCCUUUCUUUAUUGCUUCUAUUUCCAUUUUCAAUUCCCUCACCUGUUUGAUUGUAUUUUCCUGGAAUUCUUUCAGGGAAUUUUGUGCUUCCUCUCUAUAGCCUUCUGCUUGUUUAUUUGUGUUUUCCUGCAUUUCUCUAUGGGCUUCUUCAUGUCUUUCUUGAAGUCCUCCAGCAUCAUGAUCAAAUGUGAUUUUAAAUCUAGAUCUUGCUUUUCUGGUGUGUUUGGAUAUUCAGUGUUUGCUUUGGUGGGAGAAUUGGGUUCUGAUGAUGCCAUGUAGUCUUGGUUUCUGUUGCUUCGGUUUCUGCUCUUGCCUCUUGCCAUUAUGUUGUCUCUGGUGUUACCAUGUUCUGCUAUUUCUGACUGUGGUUAGACCGUCCUAUAGGCCUGUGUGUCAGGAGUGUUGUAGACCUGUUUUCCUGUUUUCUUUCAGCCAGUUGUGGGAACAGAGUGUUCUGCUUUCAGGCAUGCAGUCUUUCCUGUCUACUGGUCUUCACCUGUUCCUGUGGGCGUGUGUCUUGAGUCUACCAAGCAGGUUCAUGUCAUUAUGCAAGUGAAGGCAGACAAAAUGAAACAAGAUCUGUUAAAGAGAGCUUCAAACCAAAUUCCCUUAUGAAUAUUAAUGCAAAUCACUCAAUAAAAUUCUUGGAAACU